UACAGAGGUCCCGAGCGUUGUUCGGAUUCAUUGGGCGUAAAGGGUGCGUAGGUGGCGCUGUAAGUGGGGUGUGAAAUCCCGGGGCUUAACUCCGGAACUGCAUUCCAUACUGCGGUGCUUGAGGACUGGAGAGGAGACUGGAAUUUACGGUGUAGCGGUGAAAUGCGUAGAUAUCGUAAGGAAGACCAGUGGCGAAGGCGGGUCUCUGGACAGUUCCUGACGCUGAGGCACGAAGGCCAGGGGAGCAAACGGG
Molecule: ribosomal RNA, 253 nt
Filed under: uncultured bacterium
Lineage: Bacteria
Description: partial 16S ribosomal RNA
Rfam family: Bacterial small subunit ribosomal RNA
Source: RNAcentral